CAGGGCCUAUGAUGGAAUAUUGGAAUAUGCCUACAUUGUCUGAUCAUUUUAACUUGAUUGAGCAAAUGUUGACUGAGGCCUUG
This is a non-coding RNA of Solanum lycopersicum (tomato), 83 nucleotides long. The record is from Rfam. NCBI's taxonomy places the organism in Eukaryota, Viridiplantae, Streptophyta, Magnoliopsida, Solanales, Solanaceae.